GAUGAACGCUGGCGGCGUGCCUAAUACAUGCAAGUCGAGCGAACGGACGAGAAGCUUGCUUCUCUGAUGUUAGCGGCGGACGGGUGAGUAACACGUGGAUAACCUACCUAUAAGACUGGGAUAACUUCGGGAAACCGGAGCUAAUACCGGAUAAUAUUUUGAACCGCAUGGUUCAAAAGUGAAAGACGGUCUUGCUGUCACUUAUAGAUGGAUCCGCGCUGCAUUAGCUAGUUGGUAAGGUAACGGCUUACCAAGGCAACGAUGCAUAGCCGACCUGAGAGGGUGAUCGGCCACACUGGAACUGAGACACGGUCCAGACUCCUACGGGAGGCAGCAGUAGGGAAUCUUCCGCAAUGGGCGAAAGCCUGACGGAGCAACGCCGCGUGGGUGAUGAAGGUCUUCGGAUCGUAAAACUCUGUUAUUAGGGAAGAACAUAUGUGUAAGUAACUGUGCACAUCUUGACGGUACCUAAUCAGAAAGCCACGGCUAACUGCGUG
This 497-nucleotide ribosomal RNA is filed under the name uncultured bacterium. Its description in RNAcentral is "partial 16S ribosomal RNA". It matches the Rfam family "Bacterial small subunit ribosomal RNA", at positions 28 to 507 of the family's 1533-position model. The record is from RNAcentral.